GCCUUCGUAGUGUAGUGGUUAGCAUGCUCGUCGCGUAUUCGAGAGGUCCGUGGUUCGAAUCCCGGCGAAGGUA
Molecule: transfer RNA, 73 nt
Filed under: Stegodyphus mimosarum
Lineage: Eukaryota; Metazoa; Arthropoda; Arachnida; Araneae; Eresidae
Rfam family: tRNA
About the family: Transfer RNA (tRNA) molecules are approximately 80 nucleotides in length. Their secondary structure includes four short double-helical elements and three loops (D, anti-codon, and T loops).
Source: Rfam by way of RNAcentral